UUGUAUAGAUAGAUAUUUAUGCUUAAUUUGUGUUUGUGGUGGAACGCUUCUGUUUCUACAAUUCCCUUUCUCUCUCUCUCUUGUUUCUGACGACUAGUUGGAGAAAGCACUGAAAGUGUGAGAAAUGGCGGCAAUAAAUGCAUCAAUUAUUACGUCUUCCACAAGCAUUUCUAGCCAUGCAGUGCGUUUCCAAUACUAAUACAACUCGACUUGUUUCAAACACGCUUGGUGAGUCUCUUUGCUUUGGUCUCCGUUUCUCUUCAACUGCAAAUCCUUUAUGGGAUUUCGGUGGACUAACAGAUACUGUUUAGUGUUUACUAGAAUCUUUUCAUGACUUGAGGUUUGAGAUUCCAAAACAUUGUUCUUUGUGUUUCUUGGACUAUCCUGUAAUUACCUCAGUUGGAAAUUUAGAUUUUAGAACUAAAUAUUACACAAACUUCAAUUGUUACUCAUAAAUCUCUUCUCUUAGACUCUUACCUUAUAUAAAUAGACAGUUAGAAAUAUAUAUGCUUUUCUUACCAACAAAUUGCGCUAAAUUUUGUGAGAAAACACUUCUGAAAUUAAAGAGAUAAUAAUGGGGUUUCAUCUUAUUCCAAAGGAUAAAAGGACUGGACCGUAAAGAAUAGAAGUUCAGUCCAAGUUGUUACUCUACUACUUGAAGUAAAAUAGCGGCAACAUUUCAGUCUUUUUGGUUAUCAUUACGAUUCUUUAACAAGAAAGAUUGGCAAGCGGUAUAAUCUCUGUUUAUUGGUUUGCUUCUCUGUAGCUCUAUGUCAUUCUAAUUUACAUUACCAAUGUCUAAAGAUAAAUAAAAUUAAUUUAUCAUUCCAUUUUAAAUUCAUCAAAGAACAAAACCUUCUAGGAAUUCUAUUUCAAGAACAGGCAAUUAAUAUCUACAUUUUGUGCUAACCAUUUACAUAUGGUCAUUUACUUUGGUGAUGUGUGACCAAAUUUCUCAACUGCAUGACUAUAUCUUGAUACAUGAUAAGGGUAAUUUUGUAAUUAAUCCCUGACGAAACAAAAGGCGACGGACAUAACAAGGUUGUCAACUUCACUCAUGAGAGACAACCUUGUUGUAAAGUCUACAGCUCCACCCCAUACCUGACGGUUGCAUCUUGGGCACAGUAAGUUGAAGACAAUAAGCUGAAGAUAGUAAGCUGAAGACAGUAAGCUAAAGACAGUAAGCUGAAGAGAAUAAGAUGAAGGAGAUAUAUGAAUCUCUGAUGAGUCUGACAUGGCCUUGCUUGGUCUUUAGGCAUGCGUGUAUAAGGAAAUAUCUUGCGCUCUACGCUUACCUCUAAUCAAGAAGACUUUUAUAAUGAAAGGAUUUCGAAAGAUACACGGAUUAAAGAGGUUCUCUCCUAUAAGGAAAGAACUUCUGGAUCAAGGCAUGGAUUCAGCGCUACACUACUAUAAAAACCCCAAAACCCUCACAAACGAAGGUACGCACAAUUUCCUCCCAGCUCUAACACUCUAGAGUUAUGAACAAGAGAUUUCUCUAACUUUACCAUCGGAGGGUAUUUGGCCGGUACCACACCAGUACUCCUCUUAAGGUCUUCAGCUUUUGCGUUGUGCAGGUUCUUGUUAAGAGCACGUAAGGACCGUGUGGCUUACUGACGAUUUUUCGGCAUCAUCAAUACAAAUUUAGGUACAAGGUGGAAACAGGAUUGAAAACCCCAAAAUCAAAAUUAAAAAUAGCUAGAAGUUUAUAUCCUAGACUUCAAAUAUACAAUAGCUUCAUGUUUUCUUACGCAGCUAGCAGUUUCAUCGGAAAUUCAUUGCCACGGUUUUUCCUAAUGAAGAAGAGAGUUGUAAAAUAUUAGUGGGGAAGUUGUUGGGCUUUGUAUAGUCUAGUUUUGUUUGAUUCGAUUCGAUGACCUGACUUGACCUGAAUAAUAUUGCGUGGUUUUUAAUGGGAGAUUUACUGAGGCUUAGUCCAUAAAGUGGAGACUUGGGCUAAUAGGCUCAAGUUGGAGUGCUCAUGGACAAGCCUUUGGGGGUGGAAAUUUUUUUUGGCCCGUUUAGCCCAUUGUGAAGCUGCCUUUUGUAAUUAGGGUUUUUUAUAGAGUCAGUUGCCGUGUCUUAUAUAUAGAGAAAAUAUUGUAGCCGCAUCUGGUGUUGGAUUCUUCCCUGAAAAUAAUGAAAUCCUUGCAACUCCGUAGACGUAGGCAAAUUGCCGAACCACGUAAAUAUUGUCUUGUGCGUGUGAUUGUUUUUCUUUGGCGUGUGUUUUUUUUUUCUCUAUUUUUGUUUCUCACAGGUUGUGAAUUCGGUGUAAUUCCCUACAGAAGUCAGAGCUGCAGCAGCUGUUACGACUAGUCCUGUUGAGGAAACCAAAGAUAUCCGGCCCCACAAUUUCUAAAGAAACUUGCAUCAAGUUUAUCUUCUUCAAUUAGAAGAACAAUCAUCACCACCAUAGAUUGCACCAAGUUUUAUCAAUCUAUACGAAUAUUGCUACGGUCCAUCUUAGAACACUUUAGCCUCAAAUUUGGCAAGAGCCCCAUCACUCUAAUCUUUGGAGGUACAUUCUUGUACCAAACUUUUCUUACUUGUGAAUUUCUCUUCCUGCAUGUCUAUUUUUUUUUUUCAAGCCAAGUAGCUACCAAGACAACGACCUCAACAACAAUCUUGAAGACCAAGACAAUCUUGGCAAGGAAGUCUAUCUGUGAUACGAAGACUUGCUUGAAGAGGAAGACAAUCUUGACAAGGAAGUCUAUCUGUGAUACGAAGACUUGCUAGAAGAGGAAGACAAUCUUGACAAGGAAGUCUAUCUGUGAUACGAAGACUUCCUUGAAGAUGAAGACAAUCUUGACAAGGAAGUCUAUCUGUGAUACGAAGACUUCCUUGGAGAGGAAGACAAUCUUGACAAGGAAGGAGUGAUACGAUGACUUCCUUGAAGAGGAAGACAAUCUUGACAAGACAAUCUUGACAAGGAAGGAGUGAUACGAUGACUUCCUUGAAGACGAAGACAAUCUUGACAACGAAGUCUAUCUGUGAUACGAUGACUUCCUUGAAGACGAAGACAAUCUAGAUACAAUGACUUCCUUGAAGACGAAGACAAUCUUGACAACGAAGUCUAUCUGUGAUACGAUGACUUCCUUGAAGACGAAGACAAUCUAGAUACGAUGACUUCCUUGGAAGACAAUCUUGACAAGGAAGUCUAUCUGUGAUACGAUGACUUCCUUGAAGAGGAAGACAAUCUUGACAACGAAGUCUAUCUGUGAUACGAUGACUUCCUUAAAGACGAAGACAAUCUAGAUACGAUGACUUCCUUGGAAGACAAUCUUGACAAGGAAGUCUAUUUGUGAUACGAAGACUUCCUUGGAGACGAAGACAAUUUUGACAACGAAGUCUAUCUGUGAUACAAUGACUUCCUUGAAGAGGAAGACAAUCUUGACAACAAAGAUUGCAUUGAAGAAGAAGGCCACUUUGAGGAUGAAAAUUGUCUAUGCAAGGAUGUGUGUCCAUUGAUAUAUUGCAGUGGAGCAAUACUUGCAUAUGAGGAUAUAAUAACUUUUUUUUUUUUAUUGCAUGUCCAUGCCCCUUUUUUUUUAUAACCUUCUUUGCACCGUAGUUUAUAUUCUUUUGUAGAUUUUUUUUUUUUGUAGGUUCGCCCUAUCAUCAUGGUGCUCUUCAAAGACUUCUCUUCAUUCGGCAAGAAGUAUCUUGUUGUUACUAAAGAAUCGAAUGACACUAAGGAAGUAGACAUAUCAAUGCUCAUUGAAAGGCCGAUUAUUGGUCGAUUUGCGGAAAAGCGGCUUGAACUUAAAGACUCAAGAGACAUUGUUGAGUGGACCUAUGAUGUCUCUCGGAAUUCUGAUUCCCUUUCUGGAGUGUGGUCUUUGCAAUGGAACAACUGUCGAUGCAACAAUCUAAGGACGUGCUUUGGCAUCUUUGCAAUGGAUGUGCAUUGGCUUCUUGCUAUGAUACUUUUUAAAGGUAUAAAAUGAUGAGUACCAGACUUUAGCGAUACGGGGUGACACCAUUCAAAGUUUAAAUAUGUGAGAAGAUGACAUCAAAACUUCGAGGAUUUGAGGUGAUCCAACUCAACAAAGAGGCAACUCAGUCCAAACUUUAGAGAUGCAAAGAGGUGCCACCAAGUUUUUGAAGAUGCAAGGAGAUACCACCAAGUCUUUGAAGAUGAGAGGCAACACUGUGCAAACACCAAGACUUUAUACGUGAAAGGUAGAACUACUUAGACUUUAAAGACGAGAGAGAAAGCACAUUUUAGAGAUGCCAAGAGACAUUCUCACAAUGAUGUUUGCUUUCAUGGAGACUUUGCAUUCCUUCUGGUUGUAAUGUCUUACAAUGAUGUUAGCCUUCAUACGGUAGCAUUGUCUUCUUGUAGCGACUAUCUCAUAGUGAUGUUCGCCUAAAACUAUGAUUGCACUUAGUGUGACAUACCAAGUUUUGCCCGUGUUGCACUUGAGAGAGAUCGAGUCAUCACGUGGUUCAAGAAAGUUUUUUUUAU
Molecule: long non-coding RNA, 4471 nt
Organism: Quercus robur (English oak)
Lineage: Eukaryota; Viridiplantae; Streptophyta; Magnoliopsida; Fagales; Fagaceae
Exons: 3
Source: RefSeq, a predicted model, not a curated record